GGUUGUAUAGUGUAGCGGUUAGCACCCCAGAUUCUGAUUCUGGUAACCCCGGUUCGAUUCCGGGUACGACCU
Transfer RNA from Podospora anserina, 72 nucleotides. It matches the Rfam family "tRNA". From Rfam's summary of the family: Transfer RNA (tRNA) molecules are approximately 80 nucleotides in length. Their secondary structure includes four short double-helical elements and three loops (D, anti-codon, and T loops). Further hydrogen bonds mediate the characteristic L-shaped molecular structure. tRNAs have two regions of fundamental functional importance: the anti-codon, which is responsible for specific mRNA codon recognition, and the 3' end, to which the tRNAs corresponding amino acid is attached (by aminoacyl-tRNA synthetases). tRNAs cope with the degeneracy of the genetic code in two manners: having more than one tRNA (with a specific anti-codon) for a particular amino acid; and 'wobble' base-pairing, i.e. permitting non-standard base-pairing at the 3rd anti-codon position. The record is from Rfam. NCBI's taxonomy places the organism in Eukaryota, Fungi, Ascomycota, Sordariomycetes, Sordariales, Podosporaceae.